This 588-nucleotide ribosomal RNA is filed under the name uncultured bacterium. Its description in RNAcentral is "bacterial SSU rRNA". It matches the Rfam family "Bacterial small subunit ribosomal RNA", at positions 337 to 917 of the family's 1533-position model. The record is from RNAcentral.
UCCUACGGGAGGCAGCAGUGGGGAAUCUUAGACAAUGGGGGAAACCCUGAUGCAGCCAUGCCGCGUGUGUGAAGAAGGCCUUCGGGUUGUAAAGCACUUUCAGUAGGGAGGAAGGUAGUGUAGUUAACACCUGCACUAUUUGACGUUACCUACAGAAGAAGCACCGGCUAACUCCGUGCCGGCAGCCGCGGUAAUACGGAGGGUGCGAGCGUUAAUCGGAAUUACUGGGCGUAAAGCGCAUGCAGGCGGCCUGUUAAGUCAGAUGUGAAAGCCCGGGGCUUAACCUCGGAAUUGCAUUUGAAACUGGCAGGCUAGAGUCUUGUAGAGGGGGGUAGAAUUUCAGGUGUAGCGGUGAAAUGCGUAGAGAUCUGAAGGAAUACCAGUGGCGAAGGCGGCCCCCUGGACAAAGACUGACGCUCAGAUGCGAAAGCGUGGGGAGCAAACAGGAUUAGAUACCCUGGUAGUCCACGCCGUAAACGAUGUCUACUUGGAGGUUGUGGCCUUGAGCCGUGGCUUUCGGAGCUAACGCGUUAAGUAGACCGCCUGGGGAGUACGGUCGCAAGAUUAAAACUCAAAUGAAUUGACGGA